This 71-nucleotide transfer RNA is filed under the name Bos taurus (domestic cattle). It matches the Rfam family "tRNA". Rfam says of the family: Transfer RNA (tRNA) molecules are approximately 80 nucleotides in length. Their secondary structure includes four short double-helical elements and three loops (D, anti-codon, and T loops). The record is from Rfam by way of RNAcentral. Lineage: Eukaryota; Metazoa; Chordata; Mammalia; Artiodactyla; Bovidae. RNAcentral also lists the same sequence under 5 other names.
UCCCAGUUGGCUCAGCUGGUAGAGAAUCUGCUGUAAUGCAGGAGACCUGGGUUCAAUCCCUGGGUUGGGAA